This 68-nucleotide transfer RNA is filed under the name Eremias przewalskii. RNAcentral describes it as "tRNA-His". It matches the Rfam family "tRNA". Rfam says of the family: Transfer RNA (tRNA) molecules are approximately 80 nucleotides in length. Their secondary structure includes four short double-helical elements and three loops (D, anti-codon, and T loops). Further hydrogen bonds mediate the characteristic L-shaped molecular structure. tRNAs have two regions of fundamental functional importance: the anti-codon, which is responsible for specific mRNA codon recognition, and the 3' end, to which the tRNAs corresponding amino acid is attached (by aminoacyl-tRNA synthetases). tRNAs cope with the degeneracy of the genetic code in two manners: having more than one tRNA (with a specific anti-codon) for a particular amino acid; and 'wobble' base-pairing, i.e. permitting non-standard base-pairing at the 3rd anti-codon position. Lineage: Eukaryota; Metazoa; Chordata; Lepidosauria; Squamata; Lacertidae. The record is from RNAcentral.
GUAAAUAUAGUUUAUCAAAACCCUAGACUGUGAAUCUAGAAAGAGAAGCUUGUAUCUUCUUAUUUACC